AUUGAACGCUGGCGGCAUGCCUUACACAUGCAAGUCGAACGGUAACGGGCCUUCGGGUGCCGACGAGUGGCGAACGGGUGAGUAAUACAUCGGAACGCGCCCGAUCGUGGGGGAUAACGAGGCGAAAGCUUUGCUAAUACCGCAUACGAUCUACGGAUGAAAGCAGGGGACCGCAAGGCCUUGCGCGGACGGAGCGGCCGAUGGCAGAUUAGGUAGUUGGUGGGAUAAAAGCUUACCAAGCCGACGAUCUGUAGCUGGUCUGAGAGGAUGAUCAGCCACACUGGGACUGAGACACGGCCCAGACUCCUACGGGAGGCAGCAGUGGGGAAUUUUGGACAAUGGGCGCAGGCCUGAUCCAGCCAUGCCGCGUGCAGGAUGAAGGCCUUCGGGUUGUAAACUGCUUUUGUACGGAACGAAAAGCCUUCUUUUAAUACAGGAGGGUCAUGACGGUACCGUAAGAAUAAGCACCGGCUAACUACGUG
Molecule: ribosomal RNA, 482 nt
Filed under: uncultured bacterium
Lineage: Bacteria
Description: partial 16S ribosomal RNA
Rfam family: Bacterial small subunit ribosomal RNA
Source: RNAcentral